UGUCUCCAGAACCCUAUGGAACCAAUUGUUUCAGAAGAUGGAAUGAAAACCAUAAUGCCAUCCUUUAACUCAUUGGUUGUGUCUGCAGAGCUCCAGCAAAUUAUUGAGAGCUUUAAGAUCCAUGUACCUACGCCAAUCCAGGUUCAAACGAUUCCUCACGUUAUGAAGGGUUCACAUGUGCUCUGUGCCGCAGAGACCGGGUGUGGGAAAAACUGUGCUACAUGCUGCCCUUGAUUCAGCGAUUGAAUGAGGACGAGACGAAUAUCGAAACGGAGAUCCAGAAUCCUCGAGCUAUUGUGAUGGUGCCAUCGCGUGAUUCUCCUCGAUCAGGUCACAAAUAUUGCUCGGAGUCUGACACGUGGCACACAUUUGAAAGUGUUAUCAAUUGGUGGAGGCAGAGGCAUGAUCUGUCCAGUGCCUACCCGGAGAGUUCCUUACGAGUCUGCAAGAUCGGAGGGGGCACAACUGAUCCUCACAGGAGCUACGUUUCCCAAAGGCCUCGACAACCUAUUGUCCAAAGUUAUGGAUGCGAGUGACUCUCAAAUGGAUAUGUUUGUCAUAUAAAUGAUGAUAUAUAGUCAUGUAAAUGACAAAGGAUUGAAACCUCGAUGAAGAACGGCGCCCAGCUGAUGAUCCGGGCAAUUGGGAAAUCAGUCAAUUGCUUAUAAGUGAAGGUUAUAACUUCAAAUAAAACAGCUUUUGUUAAGUAGUUACCAUUACUGUGUGCGC
Molecule: long non-coding RNA, 729 nt
Filed under: Eptatretus burgeri (inshore hagfish)
Lineage: Eukaryota; Metazoa; Chordata; Myxini; Myxiniformes; Myxinidae
Description: lncRNA (ENSEBUG00000017413.1)
Source: RNAcentral